GAAAUGCGAUAAUUAAUGUGAAUUGCGGAAUUCAGUGAAUCAUCGAGUCUUUGAACGCACAUUGCGCCCCCUGGUAUUCCGGGGGGCAUGCCUGUCCGAGCGUCAUUGCUGCCCUCAAGCACGGCUUGUGUGUUGGGCUUCCGUCCCUGGCAACGGGGACGGGCCCAAAAGGCAGUGGCGGCACCAUGUCUGGUCCUCGAGCGUAUGGGGCUUUGUCACCCGCUCCCGUAGGUCCAGCUGGCAGCUAGCCUCGCAACCAAUCUUUUUAACCAGGUUGACCUCGGAUCAGGUAGGGAUACCCGCUGAACUUAAGC
Molecule: unclassified non-coding RNA, 314 nt
Filed under: plant metagenome
Description: partial contains 5.8S ribosomal RNA, internal transcribed spacer 2, and large subunit ribosomal RNA
Rfam family: 5.8S ribosomal RNA (bases 1-105)
Source: RNAcentral